This 205-nucleotide long non-coding RNA is filed under the name Elaeis guineensis (African oil palm). Its description in RNAcentral is "long non-coding RNA (EGUI_LNC006344)". Lineage: Eukaryota; Viridiplantae; Streptophyta; Magnoliopsida; Arecales; Arecaceae. The record is from RNAcentral.
CGGCAUUUCUCGAAGCUUCUUUUCUAUAUCAUCUUUUCGAGUUGGUCAGCAUUGAGGAGAGGCAUGACCUGAGAUAGAAUCCCUUUUAAAAAUCAAGGGAGGAGAAUGCCUAAGCCAGUGACAAGGUGAGCUGUUAGGUCAGCUGUGACGAUUAGCUCCUGCCCUCAGACUAUGGGAAAGCUGGUCUAUAGAUCUCCCUUUGGCU